GCUCGCUUGGUGAAAUAGGUAAACACAGCAGACUCAAAACCUGCACCCACUGGGUUAUCGGUUCAAGUCCGAUAGUGAGUA
This 81-nucleotide transfer RNA is filed under the name Trebouxia aggregata. Its description in RNAcentral is "tRNA-Leu". It matches the Rfam family "tRNA". From Rfam's summary of the family: Transfer RNA (tRNA) molecules are approximately 80 nucleotides in length. The record is from RNAcentral. Lineage: Eukaryota; Viridiplantae; Chlorophyta; Trebouxiophyceae; Trebouxiales; Trebouxiaceae.